UUCAAGAACCGGAAGUCAUAGAGACUUGUAACCUUCACCAAUAAUCUUAAAUUCAUAUGACCUUUAAUAUGCACCCAAGGUCAAAGGUCACCGAGUGCAAAAAAAAAGUACGCUGCAAUUUCAAGCUUACAUAUUAGGAAAACGAUAAGACUUUGCUGCAUACAUACAGCGUAUAAAAUGUUCUUCUCGACAAGCUCUACAUUUUAUACAAUAAGCCCAAAAAUGUCCG
Molecule: long non-coding RNA, 229 nt
Filed under: Mytilus galloprovincialis (Mediterranean mussel)
Lineage: Eukaryota; Metazoa; Mollusca; Bivalvia; Mytilida; Mytilidae
Source: RNAcentral